Molecule: ribosomal RNA, 861 nt
Filed under: Triticum aestivum (bread wheat)
Lineage: Eukaryota; Viridiplantae; Streptophyta; Magnoliopsida; Poales; Poaceae
Description: partial small subunit ribosomal RNA
Source: RNAcentral
AUGGGCAACAGCAUCGGCGGCCGGCGCAAGGGCGCCAAGGUGAUGCAGCUGGACGGCACCGCGUUCAGGGUGAAGCCGCCGGCGUACGCGGGCGCCGUGCUGCGCGACCACCCGGGCUUCCAGCUGCUCGAGUCGGAGCAGGUCAAGCUGCUCGGCGUCCGCGCGCGCCCGCUCGAGCACGACGCGCUGCUCCGCCCGGGCCGGCUCUACUUCCUCGUCGCGCUGCCCCGCCCCACCGUGCCCCCGCGCCGCGCCUGGUCCGGCGCGCUCCACGUCGGCGCGCGCGAGAGGCUCGAGUCGCUCAUGCUCACGCGCCGCUCCACCUCCGACCUCACCUUCCCGACCUCGGCCGGUGCCGGUACCGCGCCGCCCUCCCCGAUGUCUACCGCCUCCGAGGGCGGGCCGGUCCAGCUCAGGAUGCGCCUGCCCAAGGCGCAGGUCGCCAAGCUUAUGGGCGAGAGCCGGGACGCUGCCGAGGCGGCCGCGAAGAUCAUGCAGCUCUGCGCCGCCAACGGCGCUGUGACGCCGGAGCGGAGCCCGCGGUUCCUGCCGACGGCGGACUGGGGCACUGGUGGGCUCCCGCAGACGCCAGAGCGGAGCCCGCGGUUCGUGCCGACGCCGGACUGGGGCGGUGGCAGGUUCGCGCAAACCCCAGAGCGGAGUCCCAGGUUCGCCGCAACGCCCGAGUGGGGUGCCAGGUUCAUGAUGCAGACACCGGAGAGGGGCGUAGAGACGGCGAAGACGCCGGAUAGGUGGUCCGCUUUACCCCGCACGCCGGAGUAUGCAUCAGCGGACGUCAAGGCCAGCCGGAAGGAGAAGCGAACGCGGUUCGUGGCCUUGCCGGAUGAGAUCAUAGCAUGA